AACGAACGCUGGCGGCAGGCCUAACACAUGCAAGUCGAGCGAGGACUUCGGUUCUAGCGGCGGACGGGUGAGUAACGCGUGGGAAUGUGCCCUUCUCUACGGAAUAGCCCUGGGAAACUGGGAGUAAUACCGUAUACGCCCUAUUGGGGAAAGAUUUAUCGGAGAAGGAUCAGCCCGCGUUGGAUUAGGUAGUUGGUGGGGUAAUGGCCUACCAAGCCGACGAUCCAUAGCUGGUUUGAGAGGAUGAUCAGCCACACUGGGACUGAGACACGGCCCAGACUCCUACGGGAGGCAGCAGUGGGGAAUCUUAGACAAUGGGGGCAACCCUGAUCUAGCCAUGCCGCGUGAGUGAUGAAGGCCUUAGGGUUGUAAAGCUCUCUCAGCUGGGAAGAUAAUGACGGUACCAGCAGAAGAAGCCCCGGCUAACUCCGUG
RNAcentral lists this ribosomal RNA (433 nucleotides) under uncultured bacterium. RNAcentral describes it as "partial 16S ribosomal RNA". It matches the Rfam family "Bacterial small subunit ribosomal RNA", at positions 29 to 507 of the family's 1533-position model. The record is from RNAcentral.